GCCAGAAAGUGUCAUGGCAUUUGAUGAAAACCACGUCCCUUACAGAGAAGGAGAGAGCACUUCUGGCUGAGCUGAGAGAGAGGCUUCAUGGAAGAGCUGAUUCUAAAGUUCGCUGAGCAUUUUCAUGGGCACAACCUCAUCUGAUCAUUAUGGCAACACUGUGGGGCCUUGAAAUCAUGGCAGCAGCAAGACCCAACUGGGGCAGCAUCAUGUCUGGGUUUGAAUCCCGGUUCAGCCACUUUCCAGCUGUGUGAUGUGGGGCAAGUCAGAAAGAAGCUGGAAGCUCAAGCCUGACUAUAGGACCAGCACAGCCCCUGGCCAGCCGCAUGCUGCAGAGGCUCUGGCUGACUGUCUCUGCUCGCCUGUUCUGUUGUUUGCAUGUUCUCAGAAUAGGAGACCCCUAAAGACAGAAACUGCAUGUGUCCUGCGCAGGAAAUCUUGUAUUGGCCCUCUCAGCAGCCUUCUGGUUCCAAACCCUAUGGAAACUGCGCUCACCAAGUCAGCAGAGGCCUCCUCCUCUCAGCCUCAACUUCUUGGGGGAAAUUGGUUCUAGGGCCAGCAAGACUUCCAAAGAGCCUCUUCCCAGCAGGUUCAACCUCCCAUCAUCUGAAAGUCUUUCUGCUCCCCUCAGGGAUCCCCCACCAAGCCCUCUGCCCCUGAAGGUUGGUGCUCUGAGGGCAUCCUCCUCUCUCUGUGCACUCGCCAUCAGAGUGGUUUAGCUCCCCUUGUUCCAAUUCCAGUUGGCCACAAGCAGCUCCCAAGUCAAUUUCUCUGGUUCACUGUCCAUUAGUUGACCCAGCUAGAACCCCACCCCUGGCUCCUGACGCCUCUCCUGCUGGACUCUUCAGCAUGUUGGAUGAAGGCCAUUAGUGCUGAACUCACCAUACUCUUCCAAGAUCUGCCUGCUCCUCCCCAUCACCCCAGAGCAAGCCCUUGGCUCCUCUCCCCUUCCUAGAAACUCCCACCAGUGUUGUCAGUUCUCUUGGGUCAUGAUUCCUUAAAAAUGAACACAGAAUCUAAUUUUAUUUUCAAAACAUGAAAACAGUUCACCAUUUAACUUUGCUCUUAUUAAGUCUAUUAUCCUGAUUCAUCCUCUUUGGUAUUAAAGUCAAUAAAUCGUAUAAAUCUUGAAACUUUUUUAACUCAGAAAAAUAAAUUCUGUUAUGACAAUCCUUGACAUGUUAAUCUGUGUUGUGUAAACUGUUAGCUUUAAAACACAAAAUGCUUUUUUUAACAUGGUUGUGUCUUAGAAACUUCCUGCACAUCAUUGUGCUUGCUUUUAGUAACAGCAGACUAGGUAAUGGUGAUCAACCUUCUUGCUGAGGGCAACUAGAAGAGCUAUAUAUUUUUUUAAAAACUACCACUACCACCACAACACCAGACCAUUUGAAGCAUCUGAGCACUAAUAAGACAAACAAGAUAGUAGACAAUUAUUGAGCUAGGAUAUGGAGAGGACUGAGACUAGGGAGGUGAGCUUGGCUUAUUUUUUUUUGAGACAGGGUCUUACUCUGUUGCUCAGGCUGGGGUGCACUGAUGUGAUCACAGCUCACUGCAGCCUUAACCUCCUCAGCUCAAGCAAUCCUUUUGCCUCAGCCUCCUGAGUAGGUGGGGUCACAGGUGUGCACCACCACACUCAGCUAAUUAAAAUUUUUUUUGUAGAGAUAGGGUCUUGCUAUGUUGCCCAGGCUGGUCUGGAACACCUGGCCCAAGUGAUCCUCCUGCCUCAGCCUCCCAAACUGCUGGGCUUAUAGACUUAAGUCACUGCACCUGGCUGAGCUUGGCUUUUAAAUGCUUUUCCUCUGGGAAUGGAGGGAGUGAGUGACUGAGAGGUUGAAAGGUUAAUCAGCGCUUUUGAGGAUCUGGGGAUAUGAGACAAAGCCUACCAAGAGGAGUAUUUGGUAAACCUCCUUGCUUUGGAUUGAGACCCCAAAGGGCUGUGCCUGAGGACUAAGGAUAAACUGGAAGUAGACAGGUUCUUACAGUGACUGCCGCUCUGCUUAGACUCAUCUCAAUUCCUGAAAUUGGAUUAAGGCGAUCCAAUGUUGCUAGUGCCCUCAGGGUCUUGCAAAUCCUCUCUGGAAGAAGAUGUCAUCCUGGUGUCAGAUAAUUUCUACAAACAACUUUGCACCUGCAAUGUCCAGAACACACACACACACACACACACACACACACACACAAACAAAAACAACUCACAAAAAAACAAAUAAAACACACACAUACACACAACAAACCAAAACCAACACCAAAAACCAAACACAUGAGACUGGACAACAUGAACAAACAUAAAAGCAUAUACAGCAGGGGUUCUAGAUGUUGGAAUUAUCAGAUGCAGAUUUUAUAAUUAAAAAAACAGCAAUGCUUAUUAUGUUCAAAGAGAUAAAAAUACAUGAUGGAAAUAGACAUGGUUUGAGAAUUUUGGCAGGGAAUUGAAACUUUGUUAAAAAAAUUAAAAUUCUAGAACUGAAAAUUAUAAUACCCAAGACUAAGGAUUCAAUGGAUAGGUUUAAAAGUAUAUGAAACAUAGCUGAAGAAAGAAUUACUGAAUUAGAAGCUAGAUUAGAAAAAAUAUCCAGGCCAGACAUAGUAGCUCACGCCUGUAAUCCCAUCACUUUGGGAGGCCGAGGUGGGUGGAUCACUUGAGGUCAGGAGUUUGAGACCAGCCUGGCCAACAUGGUGAAACCCUGUCUCUGCUAAAAAUACAAAAAUUAGCUGGGUGUGGUGGUGCAUUCCUGUGGUUCCAACGACUUGGGAGGCUGAGGCAGGAGAAUCGCUUGAACCCAGGAGGCAGAGGUUGCAGUGAGUCGAGAUCAUGUCACUGCACUCCAGCCUGGGUGACAGAGUGAGACUCCAUCU
Molecule: long non-coding RNA, 2853 nt
Filed under: Homo sapiens (human)
Lineage: Eukaryota; Metazoa; Chordata; Mammalia; Primates; Hominidae
Description: HSALNT0334363
Source: RNAcentral